RNAcentral lists this ribosomal RNA (248 nucleotides) under uncultured bacterium. RNAcentral describes it as "partial small subunit ribosomal RNA". It matches the Rfam family "Bacterial small subunit ribosomal RNA", at positions 26 to 286 of the family's 1533-position model. The record is from RNAcentral.
AGAAUCAACGCUGGCGGCGUGCCUAACACAUGCAAGUCGAACGAGAAAGGGGUAGCAAUACCCUGAGUAAAGUGGCGCACGGGUGAGUAACACGUGACUAACCUACCCUUGAGUGGGGGAUAACUGAGGGAAACCUUAGCUAAUACCGCAUAAUACCCACGGGUCAAAGGAGCAAUUCGCUCGAGGAGGGGGUCGCGGCCGAUUAGUUAGUUGGCGGGGUAAUGGCCCACCAAGACGGUGAUCUGUAU